UACGUAGGGUGCAAGCGUUGUCCGGAAUUAUUGGGCGUAAAGAGCUCGUAGGCGGUCUGUCGCGUCGGCUGUGAAAACCCGGAGCUCAACUCCGGGCCUGCAGUCGAUACGGGCAAACUGGAGUGUUGCAGGGGAGACUGGAAUUCCUGGUGUAGCGGUGAAAUGCGCAGAUAUCAGGAGGAACACCGGUGGCGAAGGCGGGACUCUGGGCCGAUACUGACGCUGAGGAGCGAAAGCGUGGGGGAGCGAACAGG
RNAcentral lists this ribosomal RNA (254 nucleotides) under uncultured bacterium. RNAcentral describes it as "partial 16S ribosomal RNA". It matches the Rfam family "Bacterial small subunit ribosomal RNA", at positions 524 to 776 of the family's 1533-position model. The record is from RNAcentral.